GGAUGAACGCUGACAGAAUGCUUAACACAUGCAAGUCUAUGGUGAAGUAAGUGCUUGCACUAAUGGAGCCAUGGCGGACGGGUGAGUAACGCGUAAAGAACUUGCCUUAUGGACUGGGAUAACAGUUGGAAACGACUGAUAAGACUGGAUAUAAUUAUACAUUUGCAUGAAUGUGUAAUGAAAAGAGAUGCCAUAAGAGAGCUUUGCGUCCUAUUAGUUAGUUGGUGAGGUAAAGGCUCACCAAGGCGAUGAUAGGUAGCCGGCCUGAGAGGGUGAACGGCCACAAGGGGACUGAGAUACGGCCCUUACUCUUACGGGAGGCAGCAGUGGGGAAUAUUGGACAAUGGAGGGAACUCUGAUCCAGCAAUUCCGUGUGCACGAAGAAGGUUUUCGGAUUGUAAAGUGCUUUCAGUUGGGAAGAAGAAAGUGACGGUACCAACAGAAGAAGCGACGGCUAAAUACGUGCCAGCAGCCGCGGUAAUACGUAUGUCGCGAGCGUUAUCCGGAAUUAUUGGGCAUAAAGGGCAUCUAGGCGGUUAUGCAAGUCAGGGGUGAAAACUUACGGCUCAACCGUGAGCUUGCCUUUGAAACUGUGUGACUAGAGUACUGGAGAGGUGGGCGGAACUACACGAGUAGAGGUGAAAUUCGUAGAUAUGUGUAGGAAUGCCGAUGAUGAAGAUAGCUCACUGGACAGAAACUGACGCUGAAGUGCGAAAGCUAGGGGAGCAAACAGGAUUAGAUACCCUGGUAGUCCUAGCUGUAAACGAUGAUCACUGGGUGUGGGCAUGAAGAGUGUCUGUGCCGAAGCGAAUGCGAUAAGUGAUCCGCCUGGGGAGUACGACCGCAAGGUUGAAACUCAAAGGAAUUGACGGGGACCCGCACAAGCGGUGGAGCAUGUGGUUUAAUUCGACGCAACGCGAGGAACC
Molecule: ribosomal RNA, 926 nt
Filed under: uncultured Leptotrichia sp.
Lineage: Bacteria; Fusobacteriati; Fusobacteriota; Fusobacteriia; Fusobacteriales; Leptotrichiaceae
Description: bacterial SSU rRNA
Rfam family: Bacterial small subunit ribosomal RNA
Source: RNAcentral